GACGAACGCUGGCGGCGUGCUUAACACAUGCAAGUCGAACGCUGAAGCUCAGCUUUUGUUGGGUGGAUGAGUGGCGAACGGGUGAGUAACACGUGAGUAACCUGCCCCCUUCUUUGGGAUAACGCCCGGAAACGGGUGCUAAUACUGGAUAUUCACUGGUCUUCGCAUGGGGGUUGGUGGAAAGGGUUUUUCUGGUGGGGGAUGGGCUCGCGGCCUAUCAGCUUGUUGGUGGGGUGAUGGCCUACCAAGGCUUUGACGGGUAGCCGGCCUGAGAGGGUGACCGGUAACAUUGGGACUGAGAUACGGCCCAGACUACGACGGGAGGCAGCAGGGGGGGAAGUUGCACAAUGGGCGCAAGACUGGUGCAGCGACGCCGCGUGAGGGAUGGAGGGCUUCGGGUUGGGAACCUCUUUCGCUCAUGGUCAAGCCGCAACAAUGGUUGUGGUGAGGGUAGUGGGUAAAGAAGCGCCGGCUAACUACGUG
RNAcentral lists this ribosomal RNA (483 nucleotides) under uncultured bacterium. RNAcentral's name for it is "partial 16S ribosomal RNA". It matches the Rfam family "Bacterial small subunit ribosomal RNA", at positions 28 to 507 of the family's 1533-position model. The record is from RNAcentral.